This 478-nucleotide ribosomal RNA is filed under the name uncultured bacterium. RNAcentral's name for it is "partial 16S ribosomal RNA". It matches the Rfam family "Bacterial small subunit ribosomal RNA", at positions 28 to 523 of the family's 1533-position model. The record is from RNAcentral.
GACGAACGCUGGCGGCGCGCUUAACACAUGCAAGUCGAACGGUAAGGCCCUUCGGGGUACACGAGUGGCGAACGGGUGAGUAACACGUGGGUGAUCUGCCCUGCACUUCGGGAUAAGCCUGGGAAACUGGGUCUAAUACCGGAUAGGACUCCGGACUGCAUGGUCUGGGGUGGAAAGCUUUUGCGGGGUGGGAUGGGCCCGCGGCCUAUCAGCUUGUUGGUGGGGUGAUGGCCUACCAAGGCGACGACGGGUAGCCGGCCUGAGAGGGUGACCGGCGACACUGGGACUGAGAUCCGGCCCAGACUCCUACGGGAGGCAGCAGUGGGGAAUAUUGCACAGUGGGCGCAAGCCUGAUGCAGCGACGCCUCGUGAGGGAUGACGGCCUUCGGGUUGUAAACCUCUUUCAGCAUCGACGAAGCGAAAGUGACGGUAGGUGCAGAAGAAGGACCGGCCAACUACGUGCCAGCCGCCGCGGUAA